Molecule: ribosomal RNA, 248 nt
Filed under: uncultured Actinomycetes bacterium
Lineage: Bacteria; Bacillati; Actinomycetota; Actinomycetes
Description: uncultured actinobacterium partial 16S ribosomal RNA
Rfam family: Bacterial small subunit ribosomal RNA
Source: RNAcentral
GACGAACGCUGGCGGCGUGCUUAACACAUGCAAGUCGAACGGGCUUUGCCGCUUUGGUGGUGAAGUUAGUGGCGAACGGGUGAGUAACACGUGGGUAACCUGCCCUGUACUUUGGGAUAAGCCUGGGAAACUGGGUCUAAUACCGGAUAGGACCUUCUGCCGCAUGGUGGGGGGUGGAAAGUUCCGGCGGUACGGGUUGGGCCCGCGGCCUAUCAGCUUGUUGGUGCGGUAGUGGCGUACCAAGGCGA